UACGUAGGGCGCAAGCGUUGUCCGGAGUUACUGGGCGUAAAGGGUGCGCAGGUGGCGGCGCGCGUGGGGGGUGAAAUCGCCCGGCUUAACUGGGCGGGGGCCUUCCAGACGGCGUGGCUUGAGCAGCGGAGGGGGACGUGGAAUUCCGGGUGGAGCGGUGAAAUGCGUAGAGAUCCGGAGGAACACCCGUGGCUAAGGCGGCUCUCUAGUACGGUACUGACGCUGAGACGCGAAAGCGUGGGGAGCGAACAGG
Molecule: ribosomal RNA, 253 nt
Filed under: uncultured bacterium
Lineage: Bacteria
Description: partial 16S ribosomal RNA
Rfam family: Bacterial small subunit ribosomal RNA
Source: RNAcentral